UAUAUAUUGGAUGCUACUCUAUAUAUUACUGUUUAUAUGUAAGGGGGCUAGUUAAAAAGGUUAUAUGGUCACAACUUAGAUUCAUCAUUAGGAAUGGAAGUUCCAUACACAAUAUAGGAAUUAUUAUUUAUUAGAUUACUCAUGCCUUUACAUUAGCAUACUAUCUCAUGACAAUUUUCUUUCCAGGCUUGAAUUAUCAGCAAUGACAAAAAAGCCUAUUUAUUGGUUUCAAAAAUAAAUACUGUUUCACAAUAGGAAAAUAUUAUGAAUUGAAAAGAAUAGAUUUAAACAGACCUAGUUGCUGUAAAAAAAUUACAGAGCCGUUUACGGCAAUGGAAUCUAAAAUAAAAAAUUUCAAGAGUGAAGAAAUGCAUAGUCUCCAUUAUUUAAAUUUUAUUAGAGAUGGAGAUUCUUCUGUGUUUGCUAAUGUGAAAGAAAAAGUACAACAUGGGAACUAAAUAAAAAAAUUGACACCAGUGCACAAGAUUUUAGCUAAUACAAAGCUUCCACACUAUGGAUGAAAUAUUUUGAAACCAAGGUUACUGAAGAACUACUGUGCAAUAAAUUAUUGUACGUAGAGCAAUGGUCAGCCUAGUUCCAUGGCUGAUGAUUUUCAGAUUCGGCCACCGCAUGUAUUUGGAAACUAUGAGAAAAGGAAAAAUUUACUACUCUUUCCAUUCGUAAUUUAUAAUAUAAUUUGUACAUAGUGUUACUUUUGUAAAAUUAGCCAGACAAAUGUGAUUUGUUAUCUAUAAUAAAAAUAUAAAACUAUAAACUGGUAAAUCAUUUGCCAUUGUAUUCAAAUUUAAUUAGAGUAUGUCAUGUUUUAAGUUUGAGAAAUCAUUUCAGAAUUGUGGCAUUUUACUUAAAAACAAAUAAAACCAAAAACUUUCUUCCAAA
Long non-coding RNA from Manduca sexta (tobacco hornworm), 900 nucleotides. RefSeq lists it as uncharacterized. The record is from RefSeq and is a predicted model, not a curated record. NCBI's taxonomy places the organism in Eukaryota, Metazoa, Arthropoda, Insecta, Lepidoptera, Sphingidae. The transcript is spliced from 2 exons.